Gossypium raimondii (Peruvian cotton) is the source of this 144-nucleotide microRNA precursor. It matches the Rfam family "MIR7502 microRNA precursor family". The record is from Rfam. NCBI's taxonomy places the organism in Eukaryota, Viridiplantae, Streptophyta, Magnoliopsida, Malvales, Malvaceae.
UGUUAAAAAAUUCAUCCAUUUGUACUAUUAAAAACUGGGAUAGCUUAUGAAAUAACCUGACAAUAAUACAUGGUGUGCCACAUGUACCUCAUGUUGAUGUAUAAGGACUAGUUUUUAAUAGUAAAAAUAGAUAAAAUUUAAAUA